Anoplopoma fimbria (sablefish) is the source of this 6504-nucleotide RNA transcript. It is a transcript of the gene named zinc finger, FYVE domain containing 9a, with no coding region annotated. Lineage: Eukaryota; Metazoa; Chordata; Actinopteri; Perciformes; Anoplopomatidae. The transcript is spliced from 20 exons. The record is from RefSeq and is a predicted model, not a curated record.
GCUGUACUUUCCGACUUGUGCUGUUUGAGUUAGGCAGGCGGCGGAGGCUUCUUGCACGGGGAUACUGAGAAAUAGCCUUCAAAGGCGAUUAAGUAUGACGGAUAGUGACGGAGGGGCUCCGCGGGACUGUACGUAAAGAUGAGGAUUCAUCCGGUGUUGGCGUUUGCCAGACUGGGUGAAGUGAGAACUGAGAAGGAAACCUGCUGAGAAAAAACAACACCUGGACUGCUGGGGAGGACCUCUGUGCAGGUUCACACGGCCGUCGGCAGGGUGGAGCUUCCUGACACAUGGAGAAUUACUUCCAGGCCGAGGCCUUUAACCUGGAUAAGGUGCUGGACGAGUUUGAGCAGAACGAAGAUGAGACAGACAAUCCCAUUCUCUCGGAUGCAAAGUGGACCCAGAUCCUGGCCCCGCCCGCCCACCUGCUCUCUCUGAACCCCGCCCUGGCCCACGCAGACCUCAGCCCACAGGAGAGUCCGCUGCCCUUCAAAACUCUCCCCGACUCCUUGUCGAGCGCCUCCCCAGGGGGCGACUCUAAAAGACAUCCCGGUCCCGAACCUCCAUCCUGGGUGGAGGAGAGGCCGGCAGACGUCCACAGCCCACCCCUGCCCCAACCCAACAUCGGCAAACUGGUGGGCACAGACGACCACUCGCCGCCCCCUGUGACGGCCCGUAACGCUGUGGAGAAUGGCUGCCCUGCCAGCCCAGCAAGCCCACAACUGGAUGGGCUCAGCAAAGACACAAAUUCUCCUCCAGACAACCAGCCUUGUGCUUCUGACCAGGAGGCUAAUGGUCAUCAGGAGGAGAGAGCUGCCUCAGCAGGAGGAGGAGGAGGCUCCACUGUCAGUCACACUCACUUUACCUUUGAGGUUGCAUUGGGACCCAAAGAUGAAACUCUGUCUAUGAAGAUUCAUCCAAAUGUGCAGCCCACAACACAAAAUGGGGAAGAUGUCAAAGAGGAGGCCAGCGCUGCUGUUUUACAGGACAAUUGUAGAGAAAAACAAACUGCAAAAUUAAAAGAGGAGCAGGUAGAAAUCGUCUUGAAUAGGGGGAGCGAUGUUCAGGUUGGUUGUGAGGUGGAGGAGAAUGGUUUAUCUCCUCUUGACAGGGUUGGAGUGGAGGAGAUGGAGAGGAGAUUUGGUCCAGAGGGACAGAUAGACCAACUCCUCAAGAUUUCAAGCCUUCCCAAUGGUUUUGAGCAGGAGAGCAGUAACCAUUCCAAACUUAGGGAGACAGGAGAAGAGGAGGAGGAGGAGGAGGGUUUUUCUCCCUCUCCCGUCCCCUCGAAAGAGGACUCCGUCACUGAGGAGAAAGAAAUGGAGGAAAGCAAGCAAGAGAGCAGUGAUGGAGGAGCGGUGGGGUCCGGUAGCAUCCAGCCAAAACUCCAGAACAAUCGGCUGCAGCCGGUCAGCGUUCCCUUCGGAGGAGCACGACCGAAGCAGCCGGUCAGCCUCAAGCUCCAAAUCCCACAGCCGCUGUCGGGCCAGGUCCAAAAUCAGCUUGGCCCGUCCGCCACCAGCAGGAACAAAAACCAGGAGAACCAGUGUCGGAGGAGCACGCCCUCUGAUACUACGCCCAAUGGGACUGAUCAGAGUGCAGUCGGGGUGAACGGGGACGGUGUUGUCCACUCUCCUCCCCCGAUGCCCUCGGAGAGCCCAGACAACGACCUUCAGGCAGGCCAACAGGGCGCUCUGGGCAGGAAACCUGUCAGCUCCUUGGGGGAGGUCGCCCCUGUGUGGGUUCCUGACUCCCAGGCUCCCGUCUGUAUGAAAUGUGAUGUCAAGUUCACCUUCACCAAGAGGAGGCACCACUGCAGGGCCUGCGGGAAGGUGUUCUGUGCGACGUGCUGCAGCCUGAAGUGCAGGCUCAUGUACAUGGACAGGAAGGAGGCUCGCGUCUGUGUCACCUGUCAUUCUGCUCUGACGAGUGCUCCAUUAUGUGAGACACCGGCCACUGGAAGCAACCAGAGUCCGAACCCCAACAACCCAGCGGAGUACUGCUCCACCAUCCCCCCCCUGCAGCAGGCCCAGGCCUCUGGGGUGCUCAGCUCCCCUCCUCCUACUGUCAUGGUGCCUGUGGGAGUCCUAAAACAGGCAUGCAACGAGGGGACCAUGACACGGGAGCAGAGGAGGGUGUGGUUUGCUGAUGGGUUGCUACCCAACGGAGACACAGCAGAGUCCCCUAAACCCCCGACCUCCAGCUCAGCCCCCUCACAGUCACUGGCUAUCUCCACGUAUUCAAACAAAUCCUCCACUUCUGAAUCCUUAGAGGCAGCCCAUACCCCUGUUGGGUCGGUGGGCAGCCCCGUGGGCAGCUCCUUCAGUCUGAUCCCGGAGGACGGGCUCCCUCCCAUCCUCAUCUCCACCGGAGUCAAAGGAGGUACGGGAGGCCACAUCACAGACUAUGCAGUGGAGGAGAGGCCGUCAGAGAUCGUCCUCAUGCAGCAGCUGGAGGAGGGAAGUCCAGACCCCCUGGUCUUCGUGCUCAACGCUAACCUACUAGCCAUGGUCAAGCUUGUCAACUAUGUAAACAGGAAGUGUUGGUACGUGACGACUAAGGGCAUGCACGCCGUCGGCCAGGCAGAGGUGGUCAUUCUGCUCCAGUGUCUACCUGAUGAGAAGACAAUCCCGAAAGACAUCUUCACCCACUUUGUGCAGCUCUACCAGGAAGCCCUCAGUGGCAACGUGCUGAGCCACCUGAGUCACUCAUUCUUCACGCAGAGCUUCCUGGGCGGGAAGGAGCACGGCGGUUUCCUCUACAUCAGCCCCUCCUUCCAGUCGCUGCAGGACCUGCUGCUGCCAAACCCACCUUACCUCUUCGGCAUCCUGAUACAGAAGUGGGAGACGCCCUGGGCCAAGGUCUUCCCAAUCCGCCUCAUGCUGCGGCUGGGCGCAGAGUACCGAUUUUAUCCGUGUCCGCUGUUCAGUGUUCGCUUCAGAAAACCCCUCUUUGGAGAGACCGGUCACACCAUUAUGAAUCUGCUCGCAGACUUCCGUAACUACCAGUACACGCUACCGGUGGUAAAAGGUCUAGUAGUGGACAUGGAGGUGAGGAAGACGAGCAUUAAGAUCCCCAGUAAUCGUUACAAUGAGCUGAUGAAGGCAAUGAACAAGUCCAACGAACACGUGCUGGCCAUGGGGGCGUGUUUCAACGACCGGGCCGACUCCCACCUGGUGUGCGUCCAGAACGAUGACGGGAACUACCAAACGCAGGCCAUCAGCAUCCAUCACCAGCCUCGCAAAGUUACUGGAGCCUGCUUCUUUGUAUUCAGUGGUGCUUUGAAAGCGUCGUCGGGCUUCUUAGCCAAAACCAGCAUCGUGGAAGACGGUGUGAUGAUCCAGAUCACAGCGGAGACCAUGGACUCUCUACGUCAAGCCCUGAGGGACAUGAAGGACUUCACCAUCACAUGCGGCAAAGCUGACCAGGAGGAGAACCAGGAGCUUGUCCAGAUCGAGUGGACGGAGGACGACCACGACUUCAACAAGGGCGUCAUUAGUCCCAUUGAUGGGAAGUCCAUGGAGUCGAUCAUCAGCGUCAAGAUCUUCCAUGGCUCGGAGUUCAAAGCCAAUGGCAAAGUCAUCCGCUGGACAGAGGUGUUUUUCCUCCAGAGUGAAGAUCAACCAAACGGCCUGAGCGACCCGGCCGACCACAGUCGCCUGACGGAGAACGUGGCGAGAGCUUUCUGCAUGGCGCUUUGUCCGCACCUGAAGCUGCUGAAGGAGGACGGCAUGGCCAAACUGGGACUUAGAGUCACACUGGACUCUGACCAGGUGGGUUACCUGGCAGGAAGUAACGGCCAGCCUCUUCUGCCUCAGUACCUGAGCGACCUGGACAGCGCUCUGAUCCCCGUCAUCCACAGCGGGGCGUGUCAGCUGAGCGAGGGCCCCGUCGUCAUGGAGCUGGUCUUCUACAUCCUGGAGAUCAUCUCCUAGAAGUCUUCGGAGCUUCACCUCCAAAAAAAACGUUUUACUUUCUGACAUCAUCUCCCUCCAACCGUUUGCACUUGCAAGCCUGAAAAAGACUGUGGCGUGGCAGGCGGGGUAGCAUUCCUCAAGUCAAACCUAUGCAUCCAACCGGCCAUCUGCUUUGCUCCAGGGGCCGCCUGGGGACGGAGGAAGCUCCGAGCAGGAUCAUCUGUGUGUCCCGUGUACGUGUACCUGAACCUCGACUGACAGAAGCAGUGCACUGGAUUCUAAGCCAUUAACGGGAGAGUGAGAGCGAGCGUCGGGGUUGCCUCUGUGUCCUGGAAGACCAUGUUGGUUUUUUUUCCAACGGCAGAAAAAGUUCAGUGUUUGUAGAGAUCCAGGGUUCCUGCAGAAAUAAGAGUUUGAUUGACCUGAAGCUGAAUGUAUUUCAUCUCACAUUUCCUGCAACGUUAUCAUCCCUCCAAAUCCCUGAACUCAUGAACAUCCUGCUCCAGACUUUUCAGACCUGCACAGGAACCCUGUGGAUCCCCCCAAAAAAAAUAAAGGCCUCAACUGUUUUAGUGCAUCUGUAAAACCGAUGGCUGCAGCCCGUCUCUUUCUGCUCUGGACUGUGCUCUCCUUCAGCAACAUGGACCUGGAAAAAAAUAUAUAAGAAUGUAUCCCUCCUGUUUCUGUUAAAAUCUGCAAAAUGUGUAUUUUGUUUCUGGCUAGACUAAUCACCAAAAACCACCCUGUCAUGUCAAAAUGCUCUGUACAGUAAUCAUUCUGCAUUAUGGCAAUUUCUCCAUCUUUAAUCAUGCUAAUGUAAAACCAGAAGGGGCUACACAAAAAGUGCUGUUAACACAGUACGAGGGGUUUGUUGAAGCAUCUUAUCGGUAAGAAAACAAUCUCGUCAUCACAUUUGAAAAUCAGACAAUCACAUGGAAAUCUGCAGACUAGCCGCCGCUUCUAAAUUAGAUCUGUAGCUGUUCUGUAUUCGUUACACAAUUUGAAGUAUUUUAGGAGCCACUGUAGCAAAGUAUUGUCAGUGAAGCCGAUUUGAAAAUGUUUAGUAAAGACUGAACGAGAGGUCAAAAGGUCACCAGUUCUGGGUUUAUUACUGUGAUCAUACCAGAGUCGGUGUAUCUCAAUCACUGUGUCUUCACUGUGUGACGUUCAUCAGCCGCCGCCGGCAGUUCUGUUUUUUUAAAUUAGCAUUAAUGAAGAGGAGACGUGAGGAUUUAUUUUUCUGACUUCCUGUUUUCUGUUACGUUUUAUUUUGGCAUUAUCUGACGUGUGCAAUAUGUCCUAAAUCCAAAAGAAAAAAGGUGCAAUUUGUUUGACUGAAAAAGUAGCAUUAUUUUUUUGUAUUCAGUUGUAAGAUGUUCCGAUCCAAACGUAUAACACUGCAUGCAAACGAGCUUGAGUCCAUGAAGAGAGCAAAUCAACUUAGCAUUUUAACGGUUAUAUCUUCUAGUUUGUGGAUGAAACAAAAAUGAAUCCACUCAUUCAGUUCCGUCAUUGCCUGGGUUUUGUUAAAAUAAUUUUCUUUUUCCUUUUUUUAAUAAACAGUCAAAAAAGUUUGAAAAGCCAAAAACCCUGUCCUUUUUUCUUUUACACUCUAAAUGUCAAGAAAAGUGGUCUUUAUCAAAAAACUGUAGUAUAUGUAAAAUAAAAACUUAUAGAAAAUUAACAUGAGUGCUUAGUUUUUGCCUUUUAUUCAGGUUCUUCAACUGUUUGAUUCCUUAAUCAGAUUUUAUUUUUUUACUGAAAGAAAAAACUUGACAGUGCAAUACAAGAUCAUUUAAAUUGGUAUAUUUUUAAGCAGGAAAGACAAAUUUAAUCCAGAAUUAAAAACAAAAUAAAGCCUCGAUUCUGUUUUAGAGAUUAUUAUAACAGAGAUUAUCAUUCUGUAAAUAUAAACAGCCAGACAUCAUCAAUCUUUGUAAACAAGUAUGUUUUAACAAAUAAAAUGAUGGGUAACCAAGUUUCAUUAUUUAGGGCAAUGUUUCUGGUAAACUUAAGGUUGCAUUGAUCCAUGAUGUUUUUAGCGAGAAACGGAAAUGUUGGGACCACAGUGUCGUCUCACAACUAAAGAAUGUUGAAGACAGUUUUGAGGUAAACCUGUUGGUAAAAUGGUCUUAAUGUUGGCUCAGUGUGUUUCUUAUGGCUUAUGUGUAGCAUUUAUUACGAUGCUGCAGUAAAGGGUCAGUUCACUCAAAUUGAGGAAAGUGUUUUUUUACUCCAACAGCAGCGUGUCUUUUUAGAAACAAUGUUCUGGUUACUCUUUAUAACUCUUGACGUACGGUCCAUGUAGUAGCUGUUCUGGAGCUUUUUUCUUUUAAUUAGAUCGGUAAAUGUGUACUUAAAAGACUUCUCGUCCAUUCAUAGGUUAAAGUUGAGAUUAGAAAGUUCAUUGUUGUGCUUAGUUAUUUCUAAGGUUGGAAAAAAACAAUUUACAAUCUCAACACUGUUCUCAGAUGUGAUUUUUCAAACUGCAGCACCAAAAAAUUGAAUCGCAUUGUUUAAAAUCGCAGCAGAUAAGGAAAUAGAAAGCCUUUUUUAAAUUUGUGUGAGCUCGCCCUUUUAAAAAAAAGAA